Molecule: ribosomal RNA, 893 nt
Filed under: Pleurostoma richardsiae
Lineage: Eukaryota; Fungi; Ascomycota; Sordariomycetes; Calosphaeriales; Pleurostomataceae
Description: SSU rRNA
Rfam family: Eukaryotic small subunit ribosomal RNA
Source: RNAcentral
UUAAACAGCGAAACUGCGGACGGCUCAUUAAAUCAGUUAUCGUUUAUUUGAUAGCACCUACUACAUGGAUAACUGUGGUAAUUCUAGAGCUAAUACAUGCUAAAAAUCCCGACUUCGGAAGGGAUGUAUUUAUUAGAUUAAAAACCAAUGCCCUUCGGGGCUCUCUGGUGAUUCAUAAUAACUGCUCGAAUCGCAUGGCCUUGCGCCGGCGAUGGCUCAUUCAAAUUUCUGCCCUAUCAACUUUCGACGGCUGGGUCUUGGCCAGCCAUGGUGACAACGGGUAACGGAGGGUUAGGGCUCGACCCCGGAGAAGCAGCCUGAGAGACGGCUACUACAUCCAAGGAAGGCAGCAGGCGCGCAAAUUACCCAAUCCCAAUUCGGGGAGGUAGUCACAAUAAAUACUGAUACAGGGCUCUUUUGGGUCUUGUAAUCGGAAUGAGAACAAUUUAAAUCCUUAACGAGGAACAAUUGGAGGGCAAGUCUGGUGCCAGCAGCCGCGGUAAUUCCAGCUCCAAUAGCGUAUAUUAAAGUUGUUGCAGUUAAAAAGCUCGUAGUUGAACCUUGGGCCUGGCUGGCCGGUCGCCUCACCGCGUGCACUGGUCCGGCCGGGCCUUUCCCUCUGGGGAGCCGCAUGCCCUUCACUGGGCGUGUCGGGGAACCAGGACUUUUACUUGAAAAAAUUAGAGUGUUCAAAGCACGCCUAUGCUCGAAUACAUUAGCAUGGAAUAAUAGAAUAGGACGUGUGGUUCUAUUUUGUUGGUUUCUAGGACCGCCGUAAUGAUUAAUAGGGACAGUCGGGGGCGUCAGUAUUCAAUUGUCAGAGGUGAAAUUCUUGGAUUUAUUGAAGACUAACUGCUGCGAAAGCGUUCGCCAAAGGAUGUUUUCAUUAAUCA